This 75-nucleotide transfer RNA is filed under the name Sphaerodactylus townsendi. RNAcentral's name for it is "tRNA-Ala". The record is from RNAcentral. Lineage: Eukaryota; Metazoa; Chordata; Lepidosauria; Squamata; Sphaerodactylidae.
GGAGAUGCUAUGGUUCAGUGGUAAAGCAUCUGCUCAGCAUGCAGGGGGUCCAAGGUUCAAUCCCCGCCAUCUCCA